Molecule: ribosomal RNA, 323 nt
Filed under: Galapaganus conwayensis
Lineage: Eukaryota; Metazoa; Arthropoda; Insecta; Coleoptera; Curculionidae
Description: partial 12S ribosomal RNA
Source: RNAcentral
UUGAUAUUACCAGGUUAGUAGUAGUUAUGAGCUUGAAAAUUAAAGAAGAUGGCGGUAUUUUAGUCUAUUCAGAGGAACCUGUCCUGUAAUCGAUGAUCCACGAUUUAUUAUACUUAUUUUAUAAGUUUGCAUAUCGCCGUAGAUGGAAUGUCCUUUAAGGGUUUAUAAACAUUCAAGAGAUUUUUAUUUGUGAAAGUAAAUCAGGUCAAGAUGUAGCUAAUAAAUAAGAAGAGAUGGGUUACAAUAAAUUUAUUUAUAACGGAUUAAUAUAUGAAAUUUAUUAUAAAGGUGGAUUUGAAGGUAAUUUUAUAUAAAUUAUAAAA